UACGGAGGGUGCAAGCGUUAUCCGGAUUCACUGGGUUUAAAGGGUGCGUAGGUGGGCAGUUAAGUCAGUGGUGAAAUCUCCGGGCUCAACCCGGAAACUGCCAUUGAUACUAUCUGUCUUGAAUAUCGUGGAGGUAAGCGGAAUAUGUCAUGUAGCGGUGAAAUGCAUAGAUAUGACUUAGAACACCAAUUGCGAAGGCAGCUCGCUAAACAGACAUUGACGCUGAGGCACGAAAGCGUGGGGAUCAAACAGG
Molecule: ribosomal RNA, 253 nt
Filed under: uncultured bacterium
Lineage: Bacteria
Description: partial 16S ribosomal RNA
Rfam family: Bacterial small subunit ribosomal RNA
Source: RNAcentral